Molecule: ribosomal RNA, 465 nt
Filed under: uncultured bacterium
Lineage: Bacteria
Description: partial 16S ribosomal RNA
Rfam family: Bacterial small subunit ribosomal RNA
Source: RNAcentral
GACGAACGCUGGCGGCGUGCUUAACACAUGCAAGUCGUACGGUAAGGCCCUUUCGGGGGUCCACGAGUGGCGCACGGGGGAGUAACACGUGAGUAACCUGCCCACAACUUUGGGAUAACGCUAGGAAACUGGUGCUAAUACUGGAUAUGUGCUCCUGCUGCAUGGUGGGGGUUGGAAAGCUCCGGCGGUUGUGGAUGGACUCGCGGCCUAUCAGCUUGUUGGUGGGGUAGUGGCCUACCAAGGCGGCGACGGGUAGCCGGCCUGAGAGGGUGACCGGCCACAUUGGGACUGAGAGACGGCCGAGGCGGCGACGGGAGGCAGCAGUGGGGAAUAUUGCACAAUGGGCGCAAGCCGGAUGCAGAAACGCCGCGUGCGGGAUGACGGCCUUCGGGUUGUAAACCGCUUUCAGCAGGGACGAAGCUUUUUGUGACGGUACCUGCAGAAGAAGCACCGGCUAACUACGUG